CAGAAUUGCUUCUCUCCCAGUCUCAUCCUCUCUCACCGGGCCACGCCGCCACCCAUAACAGCCCCCGUCGCCCAUAGCUUCGGGAGACGCUGCCGUGAACGCCCGAGCAUCACCGUCGCGCAAGUUGCGUCGUUCACACAGCCCUAAACUUACCAGUCGGAAAAGCCCCUCCCUCAAGCCGGCGACCUUUUCACCCUCCGACGUCUUCUUCGUUCCCCUCUUGGACUAUAAAAUCUUGGUGGUUAGCCAUGAUUAUGAGAAUCUUGAUGAUGCUGCAGCAGCAAUAAAUGACUUUUACUCUCUUCUAAAAUAGUUAAUUAUUAAGUGCAACUACCGAACUAUGUUAUAAAUUUGAGCUGCAACUUAUCUCUACUUGUCACUGCAGACCAUUAGAACUAUGUCUGCUGAGGGCUAUCUUUCUUAAUCUGAAAGCAAGGUCUACACUAGCAACAAUUAAGAAGACCUAAAAGGCAAUAAAGCCUUCACUUUUUUCACAUUUGGGUUGAAUUUUCUCUUUUUUCUUCCUAUGUGAAGUGGGUAGUUAUGUAAAAUAAAAAU
This is a non-coding RNA of Arachis ipaensis, 558 nucleotides long. NCBI's taxonomy places the organism in Eukaryota, Viridiplantae, Streptophyta, Magnoliopsida, Fabales, Fabaceae. The record is from RefSeq and is a predicted model, not a curated record.